RNAcentral lists this ribosomal RNA (495 nucleotides) under uncultured bacterium. Its description in RNAcentral is "partial 16S ribosomal RNA". It matches the Rfam family "Bacterial small subunit ribosomal RNA", at positions 28 to 507 of the family's 1533-position model. The record is from RNAcentral.
GAUGAACGCUGGCGGCGUGCCUAAUACAUGCAAGUAGAACGCUGAAGGAGGAGCUUGCUCUUCUGGAUGAGUUGCGAACGGGUGAGUAACGCGUAGGUAACCUGCCUGGUAGCGGGGGAUAACUAUUGGAAACGAUAGCUAAUACCGCAUGACAACAGUUAUUGCAUGAUAACUGUUUAAAAGGGGCAACUGCUCCACUACCAGAUGGACCUGCGUUGUAUUAGCUAGUUGGUGAGGUAACGGCUCACCAAGGCGACGAUACAUAGUCGACCUGGGAGGGUGAACGGCCACACUGCGACUGAGACCCGGCCCAGACUCCUACGGGAGGCAGCAAUAGGGAAUCUUGGGCAAUGGACGGAAGUCUGACCGAGCAACGCCGCGGGAGUGAAGAAGGUUUUCGGAUCGUAAAGCUCUGUUGUAAGAGAAGAACGAGUGUGAGAGUGGAAAGUUCACACUGUGACGGUAUCUUACCAGAAAGGGACGGCUAACUACGUG